AGAGUUUGAUCCUGGCUCAGAACUAACGCUGGCGGCGCGUCUUAAACAUGCAAGUCGAACGGUAUUCCUUGAGCUUGCUUAGGGAAGAGAGUGGCGAACGGGUGAGUAACACGUGAAUAAUCUGCCUUUGGGUUCGGGAUAACUGUCCGAAAGGAUAGCUAAUACCGGAUAAGAUGGCAGCUGCACAGGCAGCAGCCAUUAAAGAUGGGGACCGCAAGGCCUAUCGCCUGAAGAUGAGUUCGCGGCUGAUUAGCUAGUUGGUAUGGUAAAGGCUUACCAAGGCAACGAUCAGUAGCCGGCCUGAGAGGGUGAACGGCCACAUUGGGACUGAGAUACGGCCCAGACUCCUACGGGAGGCAGCAGUUGAGAAUCUUGCACAAUGGGGGGAACCCUGAUGCAGCGACGCCGCGUGGAUGAUGAAGGCCUUCGGGUUGUAAAGUCCGAUAAGCAGGGAAGAAUAAGUGAGGGGUAAUAUUCCUCAUGAUGACGGUACCUGCCUAAAGCCCCGGCUAACUACGUGCCAGCAGCCGCGGUAAUACGUAUGGGGCGAGCGUUGUUCGGAAUUAUUGGGUGUAAAGGGCGUCUAGGCGGGAGAUUAAGUUAGAUGUGAAAGGCGUGGGCUUAACCCGCGAAUUGCAUCUAAAACUGGUUUUCUUGAGUUCGGGAGAGGAGAGCGGAAUUCUUGGUGUAGCGGUGAAAUGCGUAGAUAUCAAGAAGAACACCAGUGGCGAAGGCGGCUCUCUGGCCUAGAACUGACGCUGAAGCGCGAAAGCGUGGGUAGCGAACGGGGUUAGAUACCCUGGUAGUCCACGCCG
This 815-nucleotide ribosomal RNA is filed under the name uncultured bacterium. RNAcentral's name for it is "bacterial SSU rRNA". It matches the Rfam family "Bacterial small subunit ribosomal RNA", at positions 8 to 802 of the family's 1533-position model. The record is from RNAcentral.